CCGGCGACCGGCGCACGGGUGAGUAACACGUAUGCGACCUGCCCCCGCAGGGGGAUAACCGGGAGAAAUCCCGACUAAUACCGCGUAACGCCGCGGACCUGCAUGGGUCUGCGGCCAAAGGAAGCGAUUCCGGCGGGGGAUGGGCAUGCGGCGCAUUAGCUAGUCGGCGGGGUAACGGCCCACCGUGGCGACGAUGCGUAGGGGUUCUGAGAGGAAGGCCCCCCACACUGGGACUGAGACACGGCCCAGACUCCUACGGAAGGCAGCAG
Molecule: ribosomal RNA, 269 nt
Filed under: uncultured bacterium
Lineage: Bacteria
Description: partial 16S ribosomal RNA
Rfam family: Bacterial small subunit ribosomal RNA
Source: RNAcentral